RNAcentral lists this non-coding RNA (26 nucleotides) under Homo sapiens (human). The record is from RNAcentral. Lineage: Eukaryota; Metazoa; Chordata; Mammalia; Primates; Hominidae.
UGGUAGCUGGGAAGCCACAUGCUGGA